GGCUCAGAUUGAACGCUGGCGGCAGGCCUAACACAUGCAAGUCGAGCGGUAGAGAGAAGCUUGCUUCUCUUGAGAGCGGCGGACGGGUGAGUAAUACCUGGGAAUCUGCCUGAUAGUGGGGGAUAACGUUCGGAAACGGACGCUAAUACCGCAUACGUCCUACGGGAGAAAGCAGGGGAUCUUCGGACCUUGCGCUAUCAGAUGAGCCCAGGUCGGAUUAGCUUGUUGGUGAGGUAACGGCUCACCAAGGCUGCGAUCCGUAACUGGUCUGAGAGGAUGAUCAGUCACACUGGAACUGAGACACGGUCCAGACUCCUACGGGAGGCAGCAGUGGGGAAUAUUGGACAAUGGGGGAAACCCUGAUCCAGCCAUGCCGCGUGUGUGAAGAAGGUCUUCGGAUUGUAAAGCACUUUAAGUUGGGAGGAAGGGYUGAUGCUUAAUACGUAUCA
This 449-nucleotide ribosomal RNA is filed under the name Pseudomonas sp. R-43128. RNAcentral's name for it is "bacterial SSU rRNA". It matches the Rfam family "Bacterial small subunit ribosomal RNA", at positions 21 to 467 of the family's 1533-position model. Lineage: Bacteria; Pseudomonadati; Pseudomonadota; Gammaproteobacteria; Pseudomonadales; Pseudomonadaceae. The record is from RNAcentral.